This 248-nucleotide ribosomal RNA is filed under the name uncultured bacterium. Its description in RNAcentral is "partial 16S ribosomal RNA". It matches the Rfam family "Bacterial small subunit ribosomal RNA", at positions 523 to 769 of the family's 1533-position model. The record is from RNAcentral.
AUACGUAGGGUGCGAGCGGUUAAUCGGAAUUACUGGGCGUAAAGCGUGCGCAGGCGGAUUGUUAAGCAAGACGUGAAAUCCCCGGGCUUAACCUGGGAAUGGCGUUUUGAACUGGCAGUCUAGAGUGUGUCAGAGGGGGGUGGAAUUCCACGUGUAGCAGUGAAAUGCGUAGAGAUGUGGAGGAACACCAAUGGCGAAGGCAGCCCCCUGGGAUAACACUGACGCUCAUGUACGAAAGCGUGGGUAGC